AUCAAUGGCCAUACCUCCCUGAAUGUGCCCGAUCUUGUCUGAUCUUGGAAGCUAAGCAGUGUCAGGCCUGGUUAGUACUUGGAUGGGAGAACAAAAAGAUACACCUUGGCUAAAGGAA
Cebus imitator (Panamanian white-faced capuchin) is the source of this 118-nucleotide ribosomal RNA. Lineage: Eukaryota; Metazoa; Chordata; Mammalia; Primates; Cebidae. The record is from Ensembl.